Molecule: ribosomal RNA, 253 nt
Filed under: uncultured bacterium
Lineage: Bacteria
Description: partial 16S ribosomal RNA
Rfam family: Bacterial small subunit ribosomal RNA
Source: RNAcentral
UACGUAGGGACCGAGCGUUGUCCGGAAUCAUUGGGCGUAAAGAGCGUGUAGGCGGCUAUUUAAGUCCUGCGUGAAAUCCUGCGGCUCAACCGCAGACGGUCGUGGGAAACUGGAUGGCUAGAGUGCGGGAGAGGAGAGUGGAAUUCCCGGUGUAGCGGUGAAAUGCGCAGAUAUCGGGAAGAACACCCGUGGCGAAGGCGGCUCUCUGGAACGCAACUGACGCUGAGACGCGAUAGCGUGGGGAGCAAACAGG